Molecule: non-coding RNA, 148 nt
Filed under: Pan troglodytes (chimpanzee)
Lineage: Eukaryota; Metazoa; Chordata; Mammalia; Primates; Hominidae
Source: Rfam by way of RNAcentral
GCCAGGUGUGGUGGUGGGCACCAGUAAUCCUAGCUACUUGGGAGGCUGAGGCAGGAGAAUUGCUUGAACCCAGGAGGUGGGGGUUACAGUGAGCCGAGAUUGCACCACUGCACUCCAGCCUGGGUGACAAAGCAAGACCUUGUCUCAA